GUGUUCGCUUUGGCAGCACAUCUACUAGAACUGGAAUGAUACAGGGAUGAUUGUGGCCCCUGCACAAAGAUGACAUGCACAUUCUUGAAGCAUCCCAACAUAAA
This 104-nucleotide small nuclear RNA is filed under the name Pongo abelii (Sumatran orangutan). Lineage: Eukaryota; Metazoa; Chordata; Mammalia; Primates; Hominidae. The record is from RNAcentral.